CCAGCAGCCGCGGUAAUUCCAGCUCCAAUAGCGUAUAUUAAAGUUGUUGCAGUUAAAAAGCUCGUAGUUGGAUUUCUGGUGGGAGGGAACCGUCCGAUCUCAGAUUGGUGCGUGUUCCUCUCCGGCCAUCCUUGAGUCUAACCUCCUUGGCAUUAAGUUGUCGAGGUGGGGAUACUCAUCGUUUACUGUGAAAAAAUUAGAGUGUUCAAAGCAGGCUUAUGCCGUUGAAUAUAUUAGCAUGGAAUAAUAAGAUAGGACCUCGGUACUAUUUUGUUGGUUUGCGCACCAAGGUAAUGAUCAAUAGGGACAGUUGGGGGUAUUCGUAUUCAGUAGUCAGAGGUGAA
RNAcentral lists this ribosomal RNA (344 nucleotides) under uncultured eukaryote. RNAcentral's name for it is "SSU rRNA". It matches the Rfam family "Eukaryotic small subunit ribosomal RNA", at positions 567 to 915 of the family's 1831-position model. The record is from RNAcentral.